GGAAAAUGUUCUUUUUUGUAUAUUAAUCGACAGUUUAGAGCGCUAAUGAAUAAUGUUAGAUAUUCACAGUCAGAAAGUUGACUAUUAGCAUUGAUGGUUUGGAACAAUAUAUAUAUAUACACAUCUGUGAUUCACAUAUGAGCUUUUGUGAUUUUGGGAAUUUAUUGUCCUCCAUUCAAUUAAUUACUCGGUUUGUGAAUUUUAUAUAUGGUUUGUGAUUCUACAAAAGGAUAUGUGAUUUGUUGGUUUUUUUUUUAUUUGUUAUCUAUGAUUUUGUUGAGGGAAUUUGACUUUGAACUUGGAAUUUGAUGGAUUGUGGGAAAAAGAGGGGGGGAGGGUUGGGGGGCGUGGA
This 352-nucleotide unclassified non-coding RNA is filed under the name Hevea brasiliensis (rubber tree). Lineage: Eukaryota; Viridiplantae; Streptophyta; Magnoliopsida; Malpighiales; Euphorbiaceae. The record is from RNAcentral.